Molecule: unclassified non-coding RNA, 248 nt
Filed under: uncultured fungus
Lineage: Eukaryota; Fungi
Description: sequence contains ITS1, 5.8S rRNA gene
Rfam family: 5.8S ribosomal RNA (bases 200-248)
Source: RNAcentral
UUUCCGUAGGUGAACCUGCGGAAGGAUCAUUACCGAGCGGAGGGCAUUCGCUGCCCGACCUCACACCCUUUGCUUUGAUCAACGACCCGCUCACUACCUCGGGGUCUACUAGGGGCCAUCGCUGCCUCUAGAGCCCCGGUGGUAACAUCGAAACAACCCUCGUCUCAGUUGUCUAAGUGGAUGGAUUUUGAAAUCGUAAAACUUUCAACAACGGAUCUCUUGGCUCCAGCAUCGAUGAAGAACGCAGC